AGAGUUUGAUCAUGGCUCAGGACGAACGCUGGCGGCGUGCUUAACACAUGCAAGUCGAACGGAAAGGCCCUUCGGGGUACUCGAGUGGCGAACGGGUGAGUAACACGUGGGUGAUCUGCCCUGCACUCUGGGAUAAGCCUGGGAAACUGGGUCUAAUACCGGAUAGGACCGCAUGCUUCAUGGUGUGUGGUGCAAAGCUUUUGCGGUGUGGGAUGAGCCCGCGGCCUAUCAGCUUGUUGGUGGGGUAAUGGCCUACCAAGGCGACGACGGGUAGCCGGCCUGAGAGGGUGACCGGCCACACUGGGACUGAGAUACGGCCCAGACUCCUACGGGAGGCAGCAGUGGGGAAUAUUGCACAAUGGGCGCAAGCCUGAUGCAGCGACGCCGCGUGAGGGAUGACGGCCUUCGGGUUGUAAACCUCUUUCAGUAGGGACGAAGCGAAAGUGACGGUACCUACAGAAGAAGGACCGGCCAACUACGUGCCAGCAGCCGCGGUAAUACGUAGGGUCCGAGCGUUGUCCGGAAUUACUGGGCGUAAAGAGCUCGUAGGUGGUUUGUCGUGUUGUUCGUGAAAACUCACAGCUUAACUGUGGGCGUGCGGGCGAUACGGGCAGACUAGAGUACUGCAGGGGAGACUGGAAUUCCUGGUGUAGCGGUGGAAUGCGCAGAUAUCAGGAGGAACACCGGUGGCGAAGGCGGGUCUCUGGGCAGUAACUGACGCUGAGGAGCGAAAGCGUGGGUAGCGAACAGGAUUAGAUACCCUGGUAGUCCAA
This 773-nucleotide ribosomal RNA is filed under the name uncultured bacterium. Its description in RNAcentral is "bacterial SSU rRNA". It matches the Rfam family "Bacterial small subunit ribosomal RNA", at positions 8 to 798 of the family's 1533-position model. The record is from RNAcentral.